AUGGAACAGCAGUUGAAAUGGGUGAUGGUUGGUUGCUUAGUUAUGCUAAUAAGAUGCAACCAAACAACUUCAAAUAACAACCUUAAGAUAUCAUGGCAGGAUGCUAAGGUAGUAAAGCCGCUAAUUAAAGAUUCACAAGCUUUCCUAGCCGAAGCCUUGAAAAUACAAAAGAAAAAGCGUAGUGAACAUCUCCUGAACAAUAGGCCCACCAUUAAACUUCUGUAAGCUUGGACAUAUUUGCUUGAAAAAUUGGAGAAUGGCUUCCGGGCAGAAAACAGAAAAGAAACCUCCUUAAAACACAAUCACCCACUAGGAUAGUCUGUAAAUAGUAGUCCACUGUAUUGCCUACAAUUGGAUAGAGUUUUAGUUUGUAUUUUUGUUAAUUAUUAUUAUUUUAAUAUUCAUUGUAUUUUAAACAUUUUAACUAUUUUUUGU
This 435-nucleotide long non-coding RNA is filed under the name Androctonus crassicauda. Lineage: Eukaryota; Metazoa; Arthropoda; Arachnida; Scorpiones; Buthidae. The record is from RNAcentral.